UUAAGAUCUAACUAAAGUGAUAUGAGCAAAGCCUUAAGGUGACAUGGAUUCCAGUCUCAAUUGGGUGGAAGUGUGAAAUUUAAAAAAUGAAAACAAAUAAUUAAAUAUUUUUAUUAUCAUAUAAAAUUAUGAGUACUUAUAUUACCACAGCAAAAUUUAAUUACAACAUCACAUUAUAAUCAUUUCACAAUUAAAAUAUAUUUUUAAUAAAUACACCACAAUAAAUUUACAAAUAUAUUCGGGGUUGUUUGAGCCUCAUUUUUUCUAAAAAAAUGCAUUUUGAAAUGGUGUUAUGAUGGAGAAUGUGUGGUUAAAAAAUAAGAAAAAUUUUUGAAUUUACUUGUAAUAUUAUUUUAUUAAAAAAUAUGUAGUUAAAAUAAUAUCAAAUUAUUUUUGUAGAAUGUAUUUUGAUAGAAAAAAUGGGGCCUAAUACAAUACAUACUAAACAUGAAAAACAAAAUAAAAUAUUGUGGUGUACUCAACCUCCCAAUUUUAUUCAUCAUUUUUCUCUAUCUGUUUUGUCCUAUUUGAUUAGAUCAUAUUGUUGGGGAGAUCCUAUGUUUCAAUAAGUGGUAGUAAGCAGGGGCGGAUCCAGAUGGUUCGAACUGUGGGAUCUAAAAUGAUACAUAUACAAAUCCAAACCCUACAUUAACAUACCUUUUUCAAAUUUUCACAGUAGCAAGGGCCAACCGGCCAAGGGUUGAGCCGUUGAGGCCUAAGGGAUGGUCGGCGAUGGAAGGCUGUGGUGAACUCAACUGGCGAACUCACGAACAAAAAGGAAAAAUCGGUGGUUUGCUGUUCAUGUUUACACUUUGGGAAGAAUUAGUAAAUGGACAUGGAUUGGGAACGGGUCAAUGGGAUUACAUAGGGCUGGACAUGGUCUGGUUCGGUUCUAACGAGAACUGAACUGACCCGAAAUUUUCGGGUAUUUAGUAAGUGGAACCGUCGGAUCAAAAUUUAAUUACGGAACCGUUCGGGUUCAGUUCGAUUUGAUCCGGUUCGAUUCCAUUCGAUUCCGUAUUAUAAUUAAAUUUUUUAAUAUAUAUAAAGUUACGUUAAUUUAAUUAAUGAUAUGUUCAAUAUUAGCUCUUACAAAAUAACGUGGUUCAAUCUUAUGUGUUUCACGUCUCUCUUUACUGAAUUCUUCAUAAAUUUGAUUAUUAUCACAAAAAGAGAAAGAUAGCGAGCUCAAAAUAAUUAAGAGAGAUGUUGUAGAGCUUUAAUUCGAUUUUCUCCGAUAGAAACGACACUACAGUAGAUAACAGAUUUGGAUAAAAUUGAUGUCAAUUUGAUUAAGUUGAUUUUGAAUUGAAAAUUAGAAAUAGGAAAAUCAUAUUUUAUGGUUUGAACUAAAUUAACUAGUUAACAAUUUUAUUUAGAAAAAAUAAAAUAAUUUUACUUAUUUAAAAUAAAUUAAUUAAAAAACUACGGAGAUUCGGUUCUUCGGAUCUUGGCCUAGAAUCGAGAAUCGAACCAUAUCCGUCGGUUCUUGAUUCAAAUACCCGUUCGGGUAUUUAACUUGAGAAGAACUGUCGGGUUCACUUCGGGAGUUUUGUCACAAAACCCUACAGUUAAAAUCUAGGGUUCAAAAAUAAGAGGAGUAGUUUAACAUUUCAAAAAUCAGAUUUUUUAUAUUUAAAUAUUAAAUAUUAAUUAUUUAAAUUUCAUUCUCUCACCUAUCUUCUCUCUCCAAUAUAAUUAAUUUCUCUCUCCACUUUAUUCUCUCACCUUUUUUUAAUUAAACAUGUAAUAUAUAAAAUAAAUACUAAAAAAUAAAUGGAUAAACUUCAAACCCUAGAAAUUAUUCAACCGUUCCCCCUUCUCAAUCUUCUCUCUAUCAACAUGUCCGGCGCCACCACCAAUUUCGGCGACGAUCAUUCUUCUUCUUUGCAUAACCGUCGUGUUGCGCCACCAUCGCUCAGCCUCGUUUUGUGUUGAACAAUAUCUCAGCAAUCCCCACCACUACUAUCGCGAUAUGAAGUAGCAGCGACGACAGUCAUCUUCCUUCUUCUUCGUUCUUUCAUCGGCAGGUGCUUGAUUUCGCCGCGCACAGCGAGAUUUGUUGCUGUGCGCUGCGAGCAGAGAUGGAUUUUGUGGUUUAUGGUUUCUCUUUUUGGGAUGAAUUUUGUGGUGGUUUUUGGUUGUUCUGUGGUAAUUUUUUAGGUGGUGGUGUGUUGGUGGUCAUGCGUGGUGUGCAAGGCCCUGUGAUAUGGUGAUGUCGCGAUUGAUAGCUGUUGGAGUUCGGUGUAUGGUGGCAGUGUGGUUACCAUGGUGGUGAUUUUGCAUUGAUGUGGUGGUUGCUCUAGCAAUGGUUCUCAACAAACUGACAGUGGCCGUGGUGUGGUGGUUGGGGGGGGGGGGGGUAGAUGGGAUGUUGGUGAUUUUGUAUCUGGUUGGUUGUUGGUGGUAAGGUGGUGCUAGUUGAGGGGUGACGGCAGUUGGGACGUCGAUGCGGCUGGCGGCAGUGGUGGGGUUGCGGUCACAUAUGAUUUAAUCUGUGACCAGUAAACAAUGUGUGACUAGUGAAAAAGAGGAAUCGUGACUAAGAAAUAACAUGUGACCUAAAAAAUUAUUAAAUUUGUGACUGUUAAUAAAUUGUUAUUUAUAAUAUUUUUAAUUUGUGACCAAUAAAUAAAUUAUUGUGACGUAUAAAUUUUUUGAUUCGUGACAAAUGAAUAAACUGUGACCUAUUAAAUUUUUGAAUUGUGACCGUAAAAUAAUUUGUGAUACAUAAAAAUUUUGAUUUGUGAUCGAAAAAUAAUGCAUGGUUAAUUAAAUCUUGAAUUUGUGACCAAUUAUUAUUAUUAUUAUUAUUAUUAUUAUUAUUAUUAUUAUUAUUAUUAUUAUUAUUAUUAUUAUUAUUUGUGACCUUAAUAUUAAAUAAUCCGUGGCUUACUGACUUUAAUUCGUCAUAUGAGAUAUGAAUUGUAAGAGCUGGAUCAAAUCUAUAUCCUUUAUUCCUUGUCUGACCAAUCAAUUGCAAUUUUGGAAGGUGAAUUUGUUAUGACAGAGUCCAGCAAUUAAUGGUAAGUUGAUGCUAAAUUGUAGGAAUUGAUUGAUAUAUACAUUAAUACAUAUAUUUCUGAUUUUUGAAAGUUCAAACAUGUCAUCUUUGAUUUGAAAUAUCCUAUACUUAUGUUUUGGGUUAUGAAAUUUUCCCUUACAUCUAUGGACUAUGGAUAUGGACCAUAUGAUAUGGAUAUAGAUUUAGGAUUUGAGCUUUUUGGACAUUGGGUUAGGGAAAUUAAUUGGGUUGGCUGUUGGCAGUGGCAGACUUGGCACUGAUAAGACUGGAAAGUUACGUUUUCAGCAGAAGAAAAAAAAUUUUCAAAAAAUUGUGAGGUCAUUUGACCCCACAUGAUCCCAUGUGGAUCCGCCCCUGGUAGCAAGUCUCCAAGCAUUAGACCUGUUAAAAUGAUUAUUGCUUAGAUUGACAUUCUUGAGCAAAAAACACAUUGACAAAUUCCCUGUAAAUUUUUCUACGAACUGAUUGCCGGAAAGAUCCAUAUUUUGAACAUAUGGGAACCGGAAAAUCUUCUCAGAUAAUUUUCUAGACAAAUUCUUCCCUGAGGGCUCGAUUUUUGCUGCAUGGGACGAAUCGUAACAAAUAACUCCAUUCCAUUUGCAGAAAGGGAAAGAGGAAUUUCGGGUGUCCAGAGACAAUAAAGGAUAUAUCUAUAUAUUUUUUUGGUGUCCGAAUCAGCUUACGCGCACCUCGACUAAUCUCACAAGGUCCUGAAAUUUUCAGCUGACUUGUAAGUCCUGAAUAUUGCUAUGUGCUCGUGUCUAACCGUCUAUCACAUUCAUUUCAGGAAAAAAAAUGCAGAAAAGGAAUGAGAAUUCUUAGCCUACAAGCAUUUGUCAAAGUUUUAUGAACUUCAUUUUUUUGUAUUUGAGUCAUCCCACAUCUCGUCAAUCUGUUGAAGUUCCCAUUGACGAAGGUUCGUAUAUAAUCAAUGGAAAAACUUCCAUUAGGACAUCAAUUGUUUUUCUUUUCAGGCAUAAAUUGCUUAUCGUCUGGAGCUUACAGAAAGGCCCGAAUAUUGCUAUGUGCCUGUAGUGGCAAUAUAUUUAUCCUAAAAUUAAUUUUUCUGAAAUUUUUUUCUUCAACCGAACUCAAUCUGGUUGUCGGUACGUAGACUAAGAAAAUGAGAUAAAGUUGCUGAUUAAUAAGGACUUGUAACUGAACAAUGACACCAAUUUUCUGUUGAACAUCCUUUUGAUUGUUAUUUGAGUAGACGAAACGUCCUUCUCAUCUAUCCACCACCCGUCUAAUUUAUCAAUUGUAUCCUUCACAAAUUCCUUCCUCUUAAAAAUUCCCUCAGAAAACCCUCUUUUUUCCUUUUUAAUUUAUCCUUGUGAAGGCUAUUUGAGAUGCCGCUUUGUUUAUAAAGAAAUACUUCGAUUUUUUUGGAGCCGCUUCAGGCCGAUAACAUUGCGGAUUUGCUUUAUUUUUGCUCAUCUCUAUAUAGUAACGAUAAUGUCAACCCCUUGAGAUCGUUGCGAGACCUGAAUUAGGCCUCGGUUGAGAGGCAUGGAAGAUGUUGUUCGUGCAACUUGUUGGAAGAAUUUUGUGAAUAGUGACG
This 4586-nucleotide long non-coding RNA is filed under the name Olea europaea subsp. europaea. The record is from RNAcentral. Lineage: Eukaryota; Viridiplantae; Streptophyta; Magnoliopsida; Lamiales; Oleaceae.